RNAcentral lists this long non-coding RNA (388 nucleotides) under Solanum tuberosum (potato). RNAcentral's name for it is "long non-coding RNA (STUB_LNC005804)". Lineage: Eukaryota; Viridiplantae; Streptophyta; Magnoliopsida; Solanales; Solanaceae. The record is from RNAcentral.
AGAGGCAUGAUAUAUGGAGUUGCCCAAAUAUCUAUCACCAUUCAAGCAUAUCAUGUCAGUGACUAAUCCACACACAACAAGAAAUUCCUAAAAUUUGUAUCUAUAUUCUACUUUUACUUGAUAUGGAGUUGCCCAAAUGUAGUUUAUUAGUGAUCAUUUAAGUAUUUUGUUCUUUUCUCCCAGAUUUAUUAAUUCAUAUAUGCCAAAACAGUCUUGGAAUACAUGUAGAACUAGGAUUUUAUAGUUUUUGUAACAACAACUGAUUGGAAAAUGGAUUUUGCUGUAGUUACUUACUGUGAUAUCGUAGUAGCAUAUGAAAUACAUGUUUUAAUAACAACUAAGAGUCCUAUUUUUCAUAACAGUACCACUACAUUGGGAAGGGGCUUGG